RNAcentral lists this ribosomal RNA (253 nucleotides) under uncultured bacterium. RNAcentral's name for it is "partial 16S ribosomal RNA". It matches the Rfam family "Bacterial small subunit ribosomal RNA", at positions 524 to 776 of the family's 1533-position model. The record is from RNAcentral.
UACGGAGGGUGCAAGCGUUGUCCGGAUUUAUUGGGUUUAAAGGGUGCGUAGGUGGCCUUAUAAGUCAGUGGUGAAAGCCUGCAGCUUAACUGUAGGACUGCCAUUGAUACUGUAGGGCUUGAGUACUGAUGAGGUAGGCGGAAUUGAUAGUGUAGCGGUGAAAUGCAUAGAUAUUAUCAAGAACACCGAUUGCGAAGGCAGCUUACUAAGGAGUUACUGACACUGAGGCACGAAAGCCAGGGGAGCGAACGGG